This 1005-nucleotide long non-coding RNA is filed under the name Cricetulus griseus (Chinese hamster). RNAcentral describes it as "lncRNA (ENSCGRG00015034482.1)". Lineage: Eukaryota; Metazoa; Chordata; Mammalia; Rodentia; Cricetidae. The record is from RNAcentral.
GUGACCAUAAAGGAAAAGGGGAAACCCUGUGUUAGGAUGAAGUGUUUAAUUUUCAUUGGUCAUGUUAGUUAGGGCAGCCAACAGGGGGCUUUUGAUUGCAGGACUUCAAUACUUUGAUAGCUGGACCUUGGUGGUCAGCCUCAGGAGGAGGGAGUGGCCAAAUAAGGGAACAGACCUUGGUGGCUGGCUUUAGGAAUGCAAGCUAAAAGUUUAGCAAGGCAGAGGGAAUGGGGCAGAAGAGUAAAAGGCAAAACCUAUCGAUGGCAAGUUCCAGCCUGCUGGAGCCCUUCACCUGCAACCCCAGAAUGUUCAGGAGCUAAGAACAGGAAGAUCAGAAGUCAAGGAGUCUAACCUAUCAGUGCGACUAUGAAACCAAGCACUGGACUCAGGCCCCACUGUGCAGGCCACAUCUCACCUGUCUGUAAUGCAUCAGGCUCCUGGUUACUGCCCAAACCUUGGUGCCAGCUUAAAGGGCUGCCCUGAGGCCACCCUUGAAAGCAUAGCGAGGCUUUGUCAGACCCAGAGUUCUCUGGAUAGAGAAGGACGAUGGGGACGAUGGAGGGGAGGGUCCAGGGGACUGUGGAGGGCAGAUGGACUUGGUGGCUGCUGAGACUGGUAUACCUGCAGUGACACUCCCAGGGCCUCCCUCCCUGCCAUCUCCAGCUCCAUAUGCCAGGACCACUGGGACAGAGCAGGGAGAGGGAACACAAGCAUCUGGAAGGCAAGCCCGAGGCUGCUGGGCAAGAGGGCCACAUGGCAGUCAUCUGGAGAACAGGUGGGUCAUCGAAGCACUGGCCGGCUGACUGGAAUGAAGAGGUUGAAGCAUGAAGAAGGAAAUCAAUUUAACAUCCGCUCCGCAGCCUUCACUGAGCUCUCUGGUUCUCUGUAACUGCCCCAAGGAGACAGUACUGAGGUUUAUCUGCCCUCGCUUCAUAAGCACACUGAAACUAGUGAAGAGGAGCUCACCUGACCUGAUGGCUGGACAUCUGAACCCAACACCAUCCG